UGAAUUUAUCGAACCAAGAGGAUUUGUAUUGUCUUUGAUUGAACAUAAUAUACCUUGAUUUAAUAUCAUAUUUAUCUUUCAAUAACCUUUUUAAUAGUAAUGCCACCUGCAGUCAAAAUAAAAUUAUGCUGCCUUUAAGGCAACAUCUCUUCCAUGAUAUCUCAGUUUCCGAUCUUUUAACAGUUUAAAGAGGAGUACCAAAUUCAUCUAAAGAAAGAGAGAAAGAAAAAAAAAACAAUUGCAAAUUAUAAAAAAAAAGAAGAUGUGGUAUGAUUUCCAAUGAGAAAACUCUUCACAAGAGACCAAAUGACACAGAAAUUAACAACUAAAGGUCACCGUACGGCCUUCAUAAAUGAUCAAAACCUAUCAUAGUCAGCUAUAGAAGGCCUCGAAAUAACAAAUGUAAAACAAUUCAAACGAGAAAUCUAAAGGCCUAAUUCAUGUACAAAAUAAUGAACGAAAAACAAAUAUAUCACAGCAACAAACGACAAGCUCCUGACCUGGGACAGGCACAUAUAUUGUACAUGAUAUAGAAUGUGUCGAGGUUAGACAUGUUAGCGGGAUCCCAACCCUCUAACGUGGGACAGUGGUGCCGGUGUAACAGUAC
This 607-nucleotide long non-coding RNA is filed under the name Mytilus galloprovincialis (Mediterranean mussel). The record is from RNAcentral. Lineage: Eukaryota; Metazoa; Mollusca; Bivalvia; Mytilida; Mytilidae.